AGUGAGAAGCAAAGAGGGCAUCUUAAAAGGCUCAUGAUGGAAUAGACACAGCUUAUUAGGUAAUAGUGGGACACAAGUUUGACAAGCUUAGGAGAUCUGUACCAAGGAGAUAAGUUUGGGGCCAGGUUACGGGGGCUUUGAAUACUAGAGUGAAGUAACUGGGCUAAAGGCUGUGGGGGAAUUUCUGAAAGCUUCUGAGUAGCGAAAACACAUGAUCCAGUGUGGUUAGUAGCAGGGUUAGCUGUUAGUUGGUGAAGAAAGAAAUCCGGAUUGGGAUCCAAGAUUGCAGGCCACUACACUUAACCAGAGGAUAAGUUACAUGACCAGCACACGCAUGGAAAGUCAAUGGUCUUCUCUCCUUAUGAAUUCCAGUGAUGUGCCCUCGUUCUUCGACCUCUGAAAUGAAGAGCCACUCAGAGUCACAGUCCCAGGCUGAUUUCAAACAAUAUCAUCAGUGUUAGAACAUUAGAAGGAA
Molecule: long non-coding RNA, 475 nt
Filed under: Sus scrofa (pig)
Lineage: Eukaryota; Metazoa; Chordata; Mammalia; Artiodactyla; Suidae
Description: lncRNA (ENSSSCG00070030392.1)
Source: RNAcentral